AACCAUGCUAAUUUCAGACAAAGCCAUGCCGAGAUUAAGAGUUACCCAAAUUCUCUUCCCUAAAAAUAAAGUUGUAUGGCGUUCCCCUUGUGGCUCAGGAUCGAACCCGCAUCCUCAUGGUUCCUAGUCAGAUUCGUUAACCACUGAGCCACACAGGAACUCCUGAUGCUUCUCUCUUUAAACUCAUUUCCUUAUUCGUAACCAUCCUAAGAAUAUUUCCUUUCUGCCCCUUUGACUUUACUGUCGAUAUUUGCCCACAGUGUUUGUCAGCGUGCGGCACCCAGUCUGCCUCAAGGUUUUCCCUCUUCUCCUGUCCUUCUGUUGAUAACUGGGCCGUUCUGCUUGCUCAUUUCAUUUUGCCGUCAAGGGAUCUUUCGUGAAUGGCAUCAGAGCACGUAUGUCUAACAGGCUUCCAAAAUCCAUGUGGCCCUUGAACCUGAGGCACAGAGUAAGGGUGUGUUUAUUCAGGGCCACCGUGAAUGAAACUUAAGGUUAAACCUCAGCUUUCAUUAAAUGACUUUGUCUGUAGACAUGCAUUUCCAUGUAUCAGGAGAUACGGAAAUGAAGAAGCUGCUGCACUGCAGUUUUAGUAAAAACCGUAACAAAAAACGACAGACCGUCCAACUGCAGAGCCGGUAGUGGCUCUAAACCUCUUAGGCCUUUUAGAGGCAUCAAAGGAGUCUGUGCGUUUCGCUUCAUUCUCUUGUUCACUAGGGACUAACUUGUAGCAUGUUACAUUGAAUUGAUUGAUUAUAUGGACUUCUUUUAGUUAGCUGUCAUAAAUUAUUUUGUUUUUUAAAAGCACAAUUAGUACAGACUGUUAAAUAUCUAAGUAGCCCUAAUAUCCCUAGGAAGGUGAACAGCAGGAUAUUGACAUGUCAUUAAUGCCGUAAACAGUGGAAGUUUUAAAAUGAGAAAUAAAUAUGCAUUAAUUUAAAACAUCUACUGUAACUUUAACACACUGAGAUUAUAUUAACUGUAGUCUGUAGUAUUGAAUACAAUCCUGAUGGCAAAGGAUAAUUUAGUCCAAAGCGGGAUUUUUCUUAUAAGGGUCCAAGGAGUUCAAGCCAUUCUGGUCUUUCAACUAAGAGUUAAGAUUCUUGAGUGCUGAUAUAGUAUUUUCUAUGUCCACUACUGACGUAACGGAUUAUUCCAUGUUUGCCUCUGUAUACCAAACGUUUACUAGGGAUCACAUCUUAAGGUUUCACUUACAUUGUGAAACAACAAAAAGGCUUCAUUAUCACAGAGCUUCUAUUAACUUCAGCAGAAUAAUUUGCAGCAUCUAAACCGUUGAGAAAUGCAUCCCAAUAAUAUAUUUAGAAGGGCUGAGAAAUAAGAAUUGUGGAAAUGGCUCUUCAGCCUAAAUUCAUUAGGGAUCAAUUAGCCAUGUUGCAAUUCACUUAAUUUUCUGCUUUCCACACUGAAUUAGUCAUGUGAAUUAGUUAACAGCCCAGCCACCACUGCCAGACCAGCUAGCACCGAGACUCCUCUCCCUCAUCAAUACCCCAUGUUAGGGAGUUCCUGUCGCAGCUCAGCAGUAACAAACCCAACUAGUACCCAUGAGGACGCAGGUUCGAUCCCUGGUCUCAGUGGGUUAAGGAUCUGGCAUUGCCCUGAGCUGUGGUGGAGGUCGCAGAUGUGUCUUGGAUCCCCUGUUGCGGUGGCUGUGGUGUAGGCUGGCAGCUGUAGCUCCAGUUCGAUCCCUAGCCUGGGAACUUCCAUGUGUCACAAGUGUGGCCUUAAAAAGACACACACACACAAAUACUCCAUGUUGGCUCAGAUUGUACAUCAAAGCACCAAGUAGAAAUCAGCCCUCAGCCAGAUGUGCCGCACUGGGCCUAGUGAAGUAAUACUCCGUGUCAAUCCCGAUGUCGACAAGGCCAGUAUUAAUUGUCCGUAUCAAUAAUAAAGCCAGUUCAAAGUAUAGCUCUUUUUUUCCCCCCCCAGUUGUUUGGCUGCACCCACAGCUUGUGAAAGUUCUUGGGCCAGGGAUCGAACCCAUGCCACAGCAGCUACCUCAGGUGCUGCAGUGGCAGUGCCAGAUCCUUAACCUGCUGCACCAUGAGAGAACUCCCACGGCAUAUCUCCUUGAGUAUAGCAGGUACUCAGUCAGUGUUUUAUCAAAUUGAAUUAAAUUAACAAAGUGCUUCCAGUGAGGGCUUGAAAUCUGCCACUCUUCUUCCAUUUGCUGAGUUGGCUGGUAAAUCUUUGUCUCCAAAUGAGCCAACCCUUUCUUAUUCCUGCAGGUACUGCCAUUCUCUUUCCUCCUCGCUUAUUUCAAGCAUUGUUAGUAAAAGUUAUCUUACAAAGCACAGGAAAAUUCCUCCCAAGUCAUCCAUUUAUCUUUGAUAAGAAUUUCCCUUAGAUUCCCUGGUGGCCUAGUGGUGAAGGAUUUGGUGUUGUCAUUGCUGUGGCUCGGGUUCCCCUGGUCCAGAUAUUCUUGCAUGCCGUGGAUGCAGCCAAAAUAAAAAAUGAAGAGAGUACCCUGAUAGCCUAGCCAUUAGGACUCAGUGUUGCUGUGGCUUGGGCUACUGCUGUGGCUCUGGUUUGCAAAAAAAAAAAAAAAA
RNAcentral lists this long non-coding RNA (2567 nucleotides) under Sus scrofa (pig). RNAcentral describes it as "lncRNA (ENSSSCG00005013063.1)". The record is from RNAcentral. Lineage: Eukaryota; Metazoa; Chordata; Mammalia; Artiodactyla; Suidae.